UGAAAAAUAAAAUCAAUCCGAUAGAGUUUUACCUUCACUCUCUUGGCUGCCACGUUUCAUGUCUACCGCCGAGAUGGAAUUGCCAGGUUCCUCAUUCACAAGGCUCAGCAGACUGCCUGUCCGUGUGCACUUGCGAGUAUCUGGAUGUGGCACUUAGUGCAACUGCUCUACUGCCAGGCUGCUCAGACAAAGGGGCAUUGGAAUCGUCAGAUGGAAAGACUCUCUCAUCAGACUGGACGGCCAUCACAGACUGCGCUAUAGAAAACCCAGGAGGGGGUAUGCAGUCAGUUGGCCGAGGUCUCCAGGACUUUGUUUUUGACUAUUUUACACUUUUAAUCUUCGCUAUUGUCAACUGGCCACAGUUCAUCAAUUAGUUAAUGGGCAGAUAUUGUUACUUUCCAUUUAUAUUUAAUCAGUUCUGCCUUGUUCUUUGCGUGUCUUAGCAAAUUUGCAUUUAUAUGUGUACCAGUUCUGAAUUUAGUAACUAGUAAAAUCUGUACUUGUGUUUUGACACAGAAUUGUUCAGUGUAAAGCGUCAUACAAAAAAUAAGUUGUAUUGUAUUCUAUUAUAUUGUAUUGUACACCAGGUCUGCCAAAAACUUUACAUUACAUCUUGAAUAUUCAAAAGUGAAAAUGAUCAGAAGUCUCCAAUCAGAGUGUUGCUAUGUGACAUUGCAUUAUUUUCCAGAUUGUUUUACUUAUGUAUAAUGCUCCAAAAAUAUUCUGUCAAGCACGCAAGUUGGAGGACCACCUUCUAGGUUUAUCGGAUUUAAGCAAUACCACCCUGGGGUGAAAGGAUGCGCAGUUGCUAACAUUCUUGUGUCUUCUGUUACUCUCAGCAGAGAGAAGAUGUCCACUGAGGGCAACUGACUCCUCCCCUAAUGGAUAGAGGACUAUAAAAAAACGGAAUCCCUGGAGAAUAGCGUCUCAUAUCGGAACUGAAUUGCAAACAGUACAAUUUCAAUUUACUUCUGUAUAUGCCAUUGAGUGCCAUUUUUAUUUUAAUAUUUUUUACAUUUGGAUUAAACAGCACUUCCUCAA
Long non-coding RNA from Erpetoichthys calabaricus (reedfish), 1041 nucleotides. RefSeq lists it as uncharacterized. NCBI's taxonomy places the organism in Eukaryota, Metazoa, Chordata, Cladistia, Polypteriformes, Polypteridae. The transcript is spliced from 2 exons. The record is from RefSeq and is a predicted model, not a curated record.